This 464-nucleotide ribosomal RNA is filed under the name uncultured bacterium. RNAcentral's name for it is "partial 16S ribosomal RNA". It matches the Rfam family "Bacterial small subunit ribosomal RNA", at positions 339 to 795 of the family's 1533-position model. The record is from RNAcentral.
CUACGGGUGGCAGCAGUGGGGAAUAUUGCACAAUGGGCGCAAGCCUGAUGCAGCCAUGCCGCGUGUAUGAAGAAGGCCUUCGGGUUGUAAAGUACUUUCAGCGGGGAGGAAGGGAGUAAAGUUAAUACCUUUGCUCAUUGACGUUACCCGCAGAAGAAGCACCGGCUAACUCCGUGCCAGCAGCCGCGGUAAUACGGAGGGUGCAAGCGUUAAUCGGAAUUACUGGGCGUAAAGCGCACGCAGGCGGUUUGUUAAGUCAGAUGUGAAAUCCCCGGGCCCAGCCUGGGAACUGCAGCUGAUACUGGCAAGCUUGAGUCUCGUAGAGGGGGGUAGAAUUCCAGGUGUAGCGGUGAAAUGCGUAGAGAUCUGGAGGAAUACCGGUGGCGAAGGCGGCCCCCUGGACGAAGACUGACGCUCAGGUGCGAAAGCGUGGGGAGCAAACAGGAUUAGAUACCCUAGUAGUC